RNAcentral lists this transfer RNA (78 nucleotides) under Thermoproteota archaeon. RNAcentral describes it as "tRNA-Gly". It matches the Rfam family "tRNA". From Rfam's summary of the family: Transfer RNA (tRNA) molecules are approximately 80 nucleotides in length. Their secondary structure includes four short double-helical elements and three loops (D, anti-codon, and T loops). The record is from RNAcentral. Lineage: Archaea; Thermoproteati; Thermoproteota.
GCGGCCGUAGUCUAGCCUGGUCUAGGAUGGGAGCCUGCCACGCUCCAGACCCGGGUUCAAAUCCCGGCGGCCGCACCA